GACGAACGCUGGCGGCGUGCUUAACACAUGCAAGUCGAACGGAAAGGCCCUGCUUUUGUGGGGUGCUCGAGUGGCGAACGGGUGAGUAACACGUGAGUAACCUGCCCUUGACUUUGGGAUAACUUCAGGAAACUGGGGCUAAUACCGGAUAGGAGCUCCUGCUGCAUGGUGGGGGUUGGAAAGUUUCGGCGGUUGGGGAUGGGCUCGCGGCCUGUCAGCUUGUUGGUGGGGUAGUGGCUUACCAAGGCUUUGACGGGUAGCCGGGCUGAGAGGGGGACCGGCCGCAGUGGGACUGAGAUACGGCCCAGACUGCUACGGGAGGGAGCAGUGGGGAAUAUUGCACAAUGGGCGGAACGCUGAUGCAGCAACGCAGCGUGCGGGAUGACGGCCUUCGGGUGGUAAACCGCUUUCGACUGUGACGAAGCGUGAGUGACGGUAAUGGGUAAAGAAGCACCGGCUAACUACGUG
RNAcentral lists this ribosomal RNA (468 nucleotides) under uncultured bacterium. Its description in RNAcentral is "partial 16S ribosomal RNA". It matches the Rfam family "Bacterial small subunit ribosomal RNA", at positions 28 to 507 of the family's 1533-position model. The record is from RNAcentral.